This 2536-nucleotide long non-coding RNA is filed under the name Homo sapiens (human). RNAcentral's name for it is "HSALNT0167090". The record is from RNAcentral. Lineage: Eukaryota; Metazoa; Chordata; Mammalia; Primates; Hominidae.
CCACCACCAAAAUCAAGAUACUCAAUUUUACCAUCACCACAAGACUCUCUUGUGUUACCUCUUUUAUAGCUGCACUUAUUCUGCCUCCCUCAUCCUUGGCUUCACCAAUAUGUUCUCCAGCUCUAUCAUUGUUAUUUAACGAUUGUUACUUAAAUAGAAUCAUGGCAAUAUGUAUCCUUUUGAGAUUGGCUUUUCUCCCUUAGCAUAACUUCUUUGAGGUUCAUUCAAGUUGUUCUGUGUACCAGUAGUUCACUCAUUCUUAUUGCAGAGUAGUAUUCCAUGGUGUGAAUGUACCAUGGUUUUAAUUUUUUUUUUUUUUGAGAUGGAGUCUUGCUUUGUUGCCCAGGCUGGAGUGCAGUGGCGCGAUCUUGGCUCACUGCAAGCUCUGCCUCCCAGGUUCACGCCAUUCUCCUGCCUCAGCCUCCCGAGUAGCUUGUACUACAGGCGCCCGCCACCACGCCCGGAUAAUUUUUUGUAUUUUUAGUGGAGAUGGGGUUUCACCAUGUUAGCCAGGAUGGUCUUGAUCUCCCGACCUCGUGAUCCGCCCGCCUCGGCCUCCCAAAGCGCUGGGAUUAUAGGCAUGAGCCACCGCGCCCGGCCCCAGUUUUAAUUUUUUUAGCCAUUCAAACUUUGAAGGACAUUCGGAUAGUUUCCAAUUUGGGGUAUUAUGAGUAAAGCUGCUAUGAGUAUUCAAAUACAAGUUCCUAACUGACAUCUUUACUAGGUUCAGUCUUUCAGUCCAUGAAUGUGGCAUGUUUCUCCAUCAGCGUUUUAUAAUUUUUGUCACACCAAUCCUGUACAUAUUUUGUCCAAUUCAUACUUAAGUAUUUAAUUUUUUAUAUCACCUGUCAGCUCAUGCCUACUAAGUAUUUAAUUUUUUUCUUCAGCAGUUUAAAAUCAAAUUUCUUGGUUUCCACUUGUUCAUUGUGAGUAUAUAGAAAUGCAGUUGAUUUUUAUGUGUUGAUCUGGUUAUAUCCUGUGACUUUCCUGAAUAGUUAUAGAAGUUUUUUGUGGAUUCCAUGGGGUUUUCUAAUAGACAGUCAUGCUGUCUACAAAUCUGCAAAUAGAUAGUUUUCUUUCUUUUCAAUCUAUAUGCAUUUAAUUUCUUUCUUAUGCCUUAUUGUAGUGACUAGGACUUCCAGUCUCUGUUAAAUAAGAAUAGUGAACAUAAGCCAGGCGCUGUGGCUCAUACCUGUAAUCCCAGCACUUUGGGAAACUGAGGUGGGUGGAUCACCUAAGGUCAGGAGUUGAGACCAGCCUGGCCAACAUGGUGAGACCCCAUCUCUACUAAAAAUAUAAAAUUAACCGGGCAUGGUGGCGCAUGCCUGUAAUCCCAGCUACUCAGGAGGCAAGGCUGGAGAGUCGCUUGAACCCGGGAGGUGGAGGUUGCAGUGAGCUGAGAUUGUGCCAUUGCACUCCAGCCUGGGCACCAAGAGCGAAACUCUGUCUCAAAAAAAAUAAAUAAAUAGUGAACAUGAAUGUUCUUGCCUUGUUUCCAGUCUUAGAGGAAAAACAUUCAAUAUUUCAGCAUUAAGCAUGAUGUUAGCUUUAGGUUUUUCACAGAUGCUCUUUAUGAGACCAAGGACAUUUCCCUCUAUUCCUUGUGUCUUAAUCCAUUUUGUGCCACUAUAACAGAAUACCACAGACUGGGAAAUUUAUAAAGAACAGAAAUUUAUUUCUUAUGGUUCUGGAGUCCAAGAUCAAGGCACCAGCAGGUAUGGUUCCAGCAGGUACGGUUCCACCCUCUAGUUGCAAGAUGGUGCCUUGCUGCUGUGUUCUCACAUGGCAGAUAGCAGAUGUGCAAGAGAAAGCAAACCCACUCCUGCAAGUCAUUUUUGUAGUGGCAUUAAUCCAUUAAUGAGGGCAGAGCCCUCAUGACCUAAACACUUACAAAAAGUCCCACUUUCCCAACACUGUUGCAUUGAGGAUUCAGUUUUCAACACAUGACUUUGGGGAGCAUAUUCAGACCAUAACACCUUGUGUACUAGAUCAUGAAUCGGUGUUGAAUUUUGUCAAAUGUUUUUUCUGCAUCAUUUCUGUCAUCAUGUUAUUUUCAUUCUUUAGUUUGUUGGUAUAGGGGAUUAAAUUGAUUGGUUUUUAAAUAUCUUGGAUCAGCUUUGUAUGACCUGGAAUCAAUCCCACUUUCUUGUGGAAUAUUAUUUUUUAUAUACAUUAUUUGAUUUGCUAAAAUUUUGUUGAGGAUUUUUGUGUCUAAGUUCAUGAGAAAUAUUGAUGUGUAGUUUUAUUUUCUGCUAUCUUUUUCUGUUGCUGGCAUCAGGGUAAUACUGGCCUCAUGAAAUUAGUUAGGAAGUGUUCCUUCUAUUUUCUGGAAGAGAUUACAUAAACUUUGCAUUAAUUCUUUGACUGGUGAAAUUCUCCAGUGAAACCAUCUAGGCCUGGAGAUUUCUUUUUUGGGAGCUUUUAAAUUACAAACUCAAUUUCUUUAAUGGUUAUAGGACUAUCCAGAUCUUCUUUCAUUGUGACUGAGUUUUGGUAGUUUAUGGUUCUUGAGGAAUGGGUCCAUUUCUGAUAAGUU